UAAUACUCCAUAGAUUAGAGAAACUGGAAUGUUCUUUAAUCGAAAGUUCCGGCGCCAUAGGAUGGAUCUGCGGCCGAUUAGGUAGUUGUUGGGGUAACGGCCCAACAAGCCUGUAAUCGGUACGGGUUGUGGGAGCAAGAGCCCGGAGAUGGAAUCUGAGACACGAUUCCAGGCCCUACGGGGCGCAGCAGGCGCGAAAACUUUACAAUGCAGGAAACUGUGAUAAGGGAACCCCGAGUGCCCGUAUACGCGGGCUGUCCAGGUGUCUAAAACGCAUCUGAAGAAAGGGCCGGGCAAGACCGGUGCCAGCCGCCGCGGUAAUACCGGCGGCUCGAGUGGUGACCACUUUUAUUGGGCUUAAAGCGUUCGUAGCUGGACUCUUAAGUCUCUUGGGAAAUCCCGCGGCUUAACCGUGGGGCGUUUAAGAGAUACUGAGAGUCUAGGAACCGGGAGAGGUAAGAGGUACUUCGGGGGUAAAAGUGAAAUUCUGUAAUCCUCGAGGGACCACCGAUGGCGAAGGCAUCUCACCAGAACGGCUUCGACAGUGAGGGACGAAAGCUGGGGGAGCAAACCGGAUUAAAUACCCGGGUAGUCCCAGCCGUAAACGAUGCGCGUUAGGUGU
RNAcentral lists this ribosomal RNA (622 nucleotides) under uncultured archaeon. RNAcentral's name for it is "bacterial SSU rRNA". It matches the Rfam family "Archaeal small subunit ribosomal RNA", at positions 147 to 774 of the family's 1478-position model. The record is from RNAcentral.